AGUCCUAUUAGGAUUGUGUUAGUGGAGUCUCAUUCCUUUUAUAAGUAGAAUCUCCUUUUGUUUUGAGUCAUAUUCUGAUUACGAGUAAAGUCCCAUUAGGACUGUAUUAAUGGCCUAUAAAAACAGGUCAUCCCUCAUUUUUUAAAGACGAAUACCAAUUUUUCAGAUAAAUUUUCAGGGAGUUUUUCAAAGAGUCUUUUCAUACAUUUAUUUGGAGGAAUUUUUUUUAAACCCAAGUUGUACACAUCUUGCUUAUAGAGUGCAUCUAAUAUGAGAUAUGACUGUUGAAUCCUGGAGGUAGACCAUUGGUAUCCUAGUGCACCUAGUUCGUCUUCAAGGAGAAUGAAUCUAUUUCAAGGACAGUAUUUAUCACAUCUUAGCCGAUAAGUUUUUCUUUUUAUUAAUUAUGUUCUUUGUUUGUCUUUUGGGCUAGUCAAUUGUUUCCAUACCCUUAAAACCAACAAUCUUGAAAUAUAUUCCAAUGAAAGCUUCCCUAGUUUACACCCGUCCUGACACCUCUAAAUUUGAUGCCUUCAAUGGGACAUUCUUUAAGAGAUGACAGGAAAGGGUUUUCUUUGCAAUUGAUGUAGUGAACUUGGAACACAUUUUGACUAACCCAAAACCAAAAAAUGGUUCUCAUAUGUUACCAACCUGUGAAACUGGAAAUAAACAAGUUAGGCAUGCUAUUUUGAGUAUCAUUUCUAAUGAACUUUUUGAUAUUUAUUGUCAAUUAAAAGUUGCAAAAGAAAUUUGGGAUGCAAUAAAUAAAAAAUAUAUUUUGGAAGAUGCAGGAACUCAGAAAUAUGCCAUAGGGAAUUUUAGAAAUUUCCAAAUGACCAAGGAUGGAGAUGUAUCAUCUCAAAUCCAUGAUUACCACUUGUUGAUUAAUGACUUAGCUAUUAAAGACAUUAAAUUACUCGAAACUUUUGUAGCUGGUUAUUUAGUAGAGACUCUUCUAGAGUCUUGGAAAAAAAUACAAAAAUAACAUGAAAUAUAAAAGGAAACAAAUGUCCCAAGAGGAUGUCAUAAUCCAUAUUAGGAUUGAAGAACAAAACCGAAAUAGGGACAAUGUUGAGAAAACUAAGGAAUUGUUUUCUAAGGCUAAUGUAAUAGAAGAAAAACCUAAACCCAAAAAUAAUAAGUCCAAGAAACAAAACUCUAGGACCAAGCCCAAUGCAUCAAACGAGGUCCAGAACUCAACUAUUAAAAAAUAGGAUAAUUACUUUGUUUGUGGCAAGUCUGGACACCAUGCAGCUCAAUGUCGCCACAGGAAGAGAACUAAUAAGUCCAAUUCAAAGGCAAAUAUGACAGAGGCAAAGGUAAUCACAGUAGUAAUCUUCUCUGAGGUGAGCAUGGUCACCAAUAUGAAAGAAUGGGUGGUAGACUCUAGGGCUACCAGACACAUAUGUGGGAAUAGAAGUGCAUUUACUUCCCAUACCAUUGUAAAGGAAGGAGAUAAACAAGUGUUUAUGGGUGAUUCUAGAUCUACUCCAGUGAUUGGCAAAGGGAAAGUUCUCUUCAAGCUAACCUCUGAAAAAGUGCUUGCCCUCAGUGAUGUUCUUCAUGUGCCAGAUAUCCGCUAGAACUUGGUGUCGAUAUCUUUGCUUGGAAAAGCAGGAGUGAGGAUCUUGUUUGACUCUGAUAAAAUAGUUUUAACAAAGAAUCAUGCAUUUAUGGGAAAAAGUUAUUGUAAUCAGGGUUUAUUUAUGUUGAAUGUUCAUGAUAUUAUCAAUAAUAAUGCAUCUUCUUCUUCUGCUUACAUAGUUUAUUCUUAUGAUAUUUGACAUGGUAGACUAGGACAAGCAAACUUUUCAUAUAUGAAGAAAAUGGUUGAAUUGAGUUUCAUCCCUAAACUGUCCUUAGAAAAUGUGAAUCUUGUGUAGAAUCUAAAAUUAUAAAGAAAUCUUGCAAAUAAGUUAAAAGAGAAUCAAAUCUACUAAGUUUAAUACACAGUGACUUAGGAGACCUAAAAAAUACAAUGACUAGAGGUGGUAAACGAUUCUACAUAACUUUCAUAGAUGAAUACUCAAGGUAUAAGGGUAUAUCUUUUGAGAAACAAAGAUGAAGCAAGAGAUGCUUUCAUCAAGUACAAAAAUGAAGUGAAAAAUCAACUAAGUAAGAAAAUUAAAAGACUUAGAAUUGAUAAGGGAGGAGAGUAUGAGUCCAACCCCUUUAAUUCUUUUUGUGAAGAUCAUGAGAUCAUUUAGAAAACUACUCCUCCUUAUUCCCCUGAGUCUAAUGGAGUAGUAGAAAAGAAAAAUAGGACCUUAAAAGAAAUAAUGAAUGCAAUGUUGGUAAGUUCAGGAACACCCUUAAACUUGUGGGGGGAAGCUAUCUUAUCUGCAUGUCAUAUUCAAAAUAGAAUACCUUACAAGAAAAUUGGUAAAACUCCUUAUGAGUUGUGGAAGGGUUAUGCACCUAAUAUAGCAUACCUGGAAGUGUGAGGGUGUUUAGCUAAAGUUUUUCUCCCUGAACCUAAAAAACGAAAACUAGGUCCUAAAACCUUUGAUGUAAUGUUAUACUGAGAAUGGUGCGGCAUAUAGGUUUCUUGUUACUAAGUCAUAAAAUAGUCCUAUAGAUGUCAAUACUAUAAUAGAAACAAAGAAUGCAGAUUUCUUUGAAAACAUAUUUCCUAUGAAACUAAAUGGUGAACAACAAGUUCAAAAAACAAGUAAAGACAAGUCUAUUGAACCUUCUGAAUUUGAACCUAGAAGGAGUAAAAAAGAUAGGAAAUAAACAAACUUUGGAGAUGGUUUCUACACAUUCCUAAUAGAUGAGGACCCUAGAUCCUACAAAGAAGCUAUAACUUCUCCUGAUGCACCAUUAUGAAUGAGAGUUGGUAGAUUUACCUCCUGGUGCAAAGACUAUUGGUUGUAAGUGGAUAUUUAAAAGAAAGUUAAAACAAGAUGGGUCCAUAGAGAAGUAUAAAGCUCGCUUAGUUGCCAAAUGCUUUAAACAAAUGAAUGAUGUAGAUUACUUUGACAUCUUUGCCCCUGUGACUAGAAUAACAUCAAUUAAAGUAUUGAUCGCUCUAGCUUCCAUUCAUAAUUUGGUGAUACACCAAAUGGAUGUCAAGACUACAUUCUUGAAUGGGGAUUUGGAAGAAGAAAUUUAUAUGGAUCAACUUGAGGGUUGUGUAGCUCCAAAUAAGGAGAAAAAAGUGUAUAAGUUAGUUAAAUCACUAUAUGGGUUAAAACAAGUUCCCAAGUAGUGGCACAACAAGCUUGAUCAUGUGUUAGUAACUAAUGGAUAUUCCAUUAAUGAUGCCGAUAAGUGUAUCUACAACAAGUAUGAGGAUAACACAUGUGUAGUCAUCUACCUUUAUGUUGAUGACAUGUUGAUCUUUGGAACUAGCCUAGAGGUUGUGUGUGAGACUAAAAGAUUCCUAGGUUCUAAGUUUGAUAUGAAAGACCUAGGAGAGACAAAGGUGAUUCUAGGAAUUAAAAUAACUAGAACACCUAAUGGGCUUAAACUCUCUCAAGAGCACUAUGUUGAAAAAAUCCUAAGGAAGUUUGAACACUUUGAAUAUAAACCGGCGUCAACUCCUUAUGAUCCUAGCUCACAAUUGAAGAAAAAUAGAGAAUAUAGUGUUGCCCAAAUAGAAUAUGCUCAGAUCAUAGGAAGCCUGAUGUACUUAAUGAACCACACCAGACCUGCCAUUGCUUAUGUAGUAAGUAGAUUGAGUCGGUACACCCAAAGUCCUAAUUAGGACCAUUGGAUUGUUGUUCGUAAAGUCCUUAAGUAUUUGAGAGGCACCAUUAACUAUGGUUUGUGCUUUAGUGGAUUUCCAAAUGUCCUUGAAGGAUUUAGUGAUGCAAAUUGGAUCUUAGAUUCAGAUGAGAUGGAAUCCACUAGUGGAUAUGUUUUCAUCCUUUGUGGAAGUGCAGUUUCUUGGAAGUCUGCCAAGCAAACUAGCAUUACUUAGUCUACUAUGGAGGCUAAGUUUAUUGCCUUAGAAAAGACAAGUUCUGAGGCUGAGUAACUUAGAAACCUCUUAACAUGUAUCCUUUUAUGGACAAGACUAGCCCCGUCUAUGUCUAUGUGUUGUGAUAGCCAAAUUGCAAUUGCUAAGACUAAGAGUAAAAUAUUUAAUGGGAAGAACAGACGUAUAAGCCUAAGGCACAAUAUUGCGCGACAGCUUCUUGAAUCAGGGGUUAUAUCCCUAGAAUUUGUGAGAUUAGAGUUGAAUUUGGUCGAUCAUUUGACCAAACCACUAAAUAAGAAACUAGUGGAAGAAACAUCGAAUGGGAUGGGGCUUAUGCCUAUUACAAAAGUCAAGAGUGGUGGUAAUCCAACAUAUUAGAAUGGAAAUUCCAUGAAGUAGGUUGAUAUGGGUAAUAACAAAUCACUUCUUGACUUGAGGUGCUCUAUCAACUCUAAUUGUAUGAGAGUCUAUCCUUAUAGUGUGGAUAGAGCGUAUUCUGCAUUGAUUAAGGUUGAGUGUUUACUCUUAAUGAAUACCAUAUUCCUUAUGGACGGUAUGUUUAAUGCAAAACAUACUUGAUGGAUUCACCUAUAUGAAAGUGGAGGUGGGGUCGCUUCCUAUGAGAACUUAGGCAGGUUUUCUAGAGCUCUCAUGAAUAUCUAGGUAAAGUGCAUGACUUAUUUGUGUCAACCCGUUUUGUACAACUCGUAGUGUAGUUGAGAAAACCAAUAUGGAUAAAAGUCCUUUGAGUUACAUCAAGAAAAACUGGUUCAUAUUGGGAAUUAUUUUUAUUUUAUUUUAUUCUAUUAGUCUUAUAUUUUUGGGAAGAAUCCUAUUGGGAUUGUGCUAGUGGAGUCCCAUUUUUUUUGUAAGUAGAAUCCCCUUCCACUUUGAGUCAUAUUCUAAUUACAAGUAAAGUCCCAUUGGGACUGUAUUAGUGACCUAUAAAAACAGGUCACCCCUCACUCUCUAAACGAAUACCAAUUUUUCAGAGAGUUUUUCAGAUAGUCUUUUCAUACAUCUUGUAGAACCUCAAGCAUUACCAACUCUUCUAAAAGCAAUUGCUUGUAGGAAAGGCAUAUACCCUAACCUUAUAGUGCAUUCACCCAAGCGCCCACGACGAACACAAGGGGAGUUGAUGGAUGCGACCCCUAAUGACACCCCUGGGGUUCGAACCCGUGACCUCGGCUCUAAUACCACUUAUAGGACCUCAGACGCUACCAACUCUCCUAUAAGCAAUUGCUUGUAGGAAAGACGCAUACCCUAGCCUUAUAGUGCAUUUACCCAAGCGCCCACGACGAACACAAGGGGAGUUGAUGGACGUGGCCAACCCUCCAAUCUGCCAACACAUCUAUCUGGAGGAAUUUUUUUUAAACCCGAGUUGUACACAUCUCGCUUACAGAGUGCACCCAAGGCGAGAUCUGACUAUUGAAUCCUGGAGAUAGACCAUUGGUACCUAGUGCACCAAGUUUGUCUUUGAGAAUGGUGGAUUUAUUUCAAAAACAAUGUUUGUCAUGCCUCAGCCGAUAAGUUUUUCUUCUUAUUAAUUAUGUUCUUUAUUUGUGUCUUUUAAGCUAGUCAAUUGUUUCCAUACCCUUAAAACCAAUAGUUCUAUCAAGGAUGCCCAAAAAAUCAAUUGAAUUCCCAAUGAUCAAAUUUUUAAAUUUCUUUUCAUAAUUUCGAAUUUUUGAAAUACCUAACAUAAAACCGAAAUAAAUGGUUUGGUUUUACGAUUUCUUAUAUUAUCCAUUUAGGAGAUAUUUUUUUUCACAAUUGAAUACAUUUAUAUGAUUGGACCACUUAGAGCCCGUUUGGUAGUAAUUCUAAAAAACGCUUUUAAUAUUUUUAAUACUUGAAAAAAUUUAUUAUUCAAGUGUUAGAAAUACUAAAAACAUUUUCUAAAAUUACUCUCAAAUGCACUCUUAGUAUCAUUAAUAGAAACAAUAAGAGUCCAUUUGACAGUGAUC
This 5892-nucleotide long non-coding RNA is filed under the name Vitis vinifera (wine grape). RNAcentral's name for it is "long non-coding RNA (VVIN_LNC001278)". The record is from RNAcentral. Lineage: Eukaryota; Viridiplantae; Streptophyta; Magnoliopsida; Vitales; Vitaceae.